GAAACAAGGCGUUCGGACUUUGGAGUGUCAAUGAGUCAUCGUGUUGCAACUGUCAUUCUCAUUGUGCUGUCCUACAUACUCAGGUUUGCCCGUGUUGGUUCAGUUGUUUUAGCUAUUCAUGAUGCUAGUGAUAUACUUUUGGAGAUAGGAAAGAUGUCCAAAUAUAGUGGUGCUGAAGGGAUGGCUAGCUUUGCAUUUAUUAUUUUUGUUUUGUCUUGGAUCAUACUGCGCC
RNAcentral lists this unclassified non-coding RNA (232 nucleotides) under Hevea brasiliensis (rubber tree). Lineage: Eukaryota; Viridiplantae; Streptophyta; Magnoliopsida; Malpighiales; Euphorbiaceae. The record is from RNAcentral.